This 714-nucleotide ribosomal RNA is filed under the name Triticum aestivum (bread wheat). Its description in RNAcentral is "partial small subunit ribosomal RNA". Lineage: Eukaryota; Viridiplantae; Streptophyta; Magnoliopsida; Poales; Poaceae. The record is from RNAcentral.
AUGGCGGAGGCGCGGCGCAGCCACCCGUCGCAGUACGUGAAGCUGACCAAGGACCAGGACGCUUCCGCCUGCGGCCCCGGCGUGGAGGACAUCCGCCCUGGCGAGCUCAACCUGCCCGUCGCCGUCCCGCAGCUGGAGCGGAUGAAGUGCAUCCAGUGUGGGCAGGUGCUGCCUGAGGGCCACCAGGCGCCGGCCGACGAGCCGUGGACAACCGGCAUCUUCGGUUGCGCUGAGGACCCCGAGAGCUGCUGGACUGGACUAUUCUGCCCCUGUGUGUUGUUUGGACGAAAUGUUCAGGCCCUUAGAGAAGAUAUCCCAUGGACAAGACCCUGCACUUGCCAUGCUGUCUGCGUUGAAGGUGGCAUUGCAUUGGCAAUUCUCACGGCUAUAUUCCAUGGUGUUGACCCAGACACAUCGAUCCUGAUUGGUGAAGGCCUGGUCUGCAGUUGGUGGAUAUGCUCUCAAUAUACUGGUAUUAUUCGUGAAAAGCUUCAGAAGAAGUAUCAUCUUGAGAACUCUCCAUGCGAUCCUUGCAUAGUCCACUGCUGCUUCCACUACUGCGCGAACUGUCAGGAGCAUCGUGAAAGGAAAGGCCGACUUGCAGAAAACAGUGUUGUUCCAAUGACCGUUGUCAACCCACCGCCGCUGCAAGAGAUGAGCAUGGCUGAGAACAACGCUCCCACAUCCGAGAAUGAAGGGUCAAAGGCAGCAUGA